AUACUUAACCUGGAAGGAGAGAUACCAUGAUCAUGAAGGUGGUUUUCUGAGGAUGAGGCUUAUCCACUGCACUUCCAAUGUGGUGACCCAAAUAUGGGAAACUCAGCUGUGUAGUGUGUGGUAGUGGGGGACUGCGUUUGUGUUCUCCCCUG
Molecule: small nuclear RNA, 152 nt
Filed under: Dasypus novemcinctus (nine-banded armadillo)
Lineage: Eukaryota; Metazoa; Chordata; Mammalia; Cingulata; Dasypodidae
Description: U1 spliceosomal RNA (ENSDNOG00000028055.1)
Rfam family: U1 spliceosomal RNA
About the family: U1 is a small nuclear RNA (snRNA) component of the spliceosome (involved in pre-mRNA splicing). Its 5' end forms complementary base pairs with the 5' splice junction, thus defining the 5' donor site of an intron. There are significant differences in sequence and secondary structure between metazoan and yeast U1 snRNAs, the latter being much longer (568 nucleotides as compared to 164 nucleotides in human).
Source: RNAcentral